GCAAAAUUGAAAUGUAAAAUGCCCGUUUUAAUUAAGCCUGUUUAUUGACAAUAGUGGUAAACGCAAGCUUCCAUUCAUGACCACUAUCACCGUCUUAAGUAGGAUAAGCUUAUAAACAUGAAAACAAUGAAUAACUUGACUUUAGAACAUUCGCAUAAUAACUUGCAAAUACGGCUGUUAUCAUGGAAGCUUCAUUGCUAAGAUUUAUAUUUAAGAAAGUAAGGAACUUAUAUUUUAUGAGGCAAUAGAAUAUUUACAAAAUGUGCACAAAAUAUUUUGAACAGUGUCAUUCAUUGGAUAAAAACAUAAUAACAAAAUUUAUAUUUUCCUUCUUCCGCCUAAUGUGAUAGUUUGUGAUGAGCGUUUAGAGAGUAGGACUAUAUAUUUUAUGUCUGUUAGAAAAGAAUGAAGUAAACAUCUUUACAAACUAAAAGAAUGAAGCCUACUAGUAUUUCAUUUCAAAUAUGUUGGGUAUUCAUCUUCGCUGUAUCUGCCAUCAGUAGGUCACAUUCCUUGGAGUGUUUCAGUUGUACUGAUGCUGUAAAUUUACGCGAAUGUAAAUCAGUGGAAAAAUGCGAGGAAGGUCAGGU
Ruditapes philippinarum (Manila clam) is the source of this 590-nucleotide long non-coding RNA. RefSeq lists it as uncharacterized. The transcript has 4 exons. Lineage: Eukaryota; Metazoa; Mollusca; Bivalvia; Venerida; Veneridae. The record is from RefSeq and is a predicted model, not a curated record.